UGACAUGUUUCGAUAUGUAGAGAGUGUCGAUCAACAUGAUCCCGCUGAGGUCCCGGAGACGGAUGUGGUGGCUCCUGUCACUCCUGAACUAGCUUCCCCUCCAGUGCAGCAAAAUCACAUUUCCGAGCUGAGUACACUAUCAGUAGAGGAAGCUAAUGAGGGAGAAAUCUACAAUCCACCUGAGAAUGCUGAUGUGCCUGUUGAAGAGGAAG
Molecule: unclassified non-coding RNA, 212 nt
Filed under: Hevea brasiliensis (rubber tree)
Lineage: Eukaryota; Viridiplantae; Streptophyta; Magnoliopsida; Malpighiales; Euphorbiaceae
Source: RNAcentral